This 587-nucleotide ribosomal RNA is filed under the name bacterium BYS1C. Its description in RNAcentral is "bacterial SSU rRNA". It matches the Rfam family "Bacterial small subunit ribosomal RNA", at positions 338 to 915 of the family's 1533-position model. The record is from RNAcentral.
CCUACGGGAGGCAGCAGUAGGGAAUCUUCCGCAAUGGACGAAAGUCUGACGGAGCAACGCCGCGUGAGUGAUGAAGGCUUUCGGGUCGUAAAACUCUGUUGUUAGGGAAGAACAAGUGCUAGUUGAAUAAGCUGGCACCUUGACGGUACCUAACCAGAAAGCCACGGCUAACUACGUGCCAGCAGCCGCGGUAAUACGUAGGUGGCAAGCGUUAUCCGGAAUUAUUGGGCGUAAAGCGCGCGCAGGUGGUUUCUUAAGUCUGAUGUGAAAGCCCACGGCUCAACCGUGGAGGGUCAUUGGAAACUGGGAGACUUGAGUGCAGAAGAGGAAAGUGGAAUUCCAUGUGUAGCGGUGAAAUGCGUAGAGAUAUGGAGGAACACCAGUGGCGAAGGCGACUUUCUGGUCUGUAACUGACACUGAGGCGCGAAAGCGUGGGGAGCAAACAGGAUUAGAUACCCUGGUAGUCCACGCCGUAAACGAUGAGUGCUAAGUGUUAGAGGGUUUCCGCCCUUUAGUGCUGAAGUUAACGCAUUAAGCACUCCGCCUGGGGAGUACGGCCGCAAGGCUGAAACUCAAAGGAAUUGACG